Molecule: non-coding RNA, 1968 nt
Organism: Cricetulus griseus (Chinese hamster)
Lineage: Eukaryota; Metazoa; Chordata; Mammalia; Rodentia; Cricetidae
Source: RefSeq, a predicted model, not a curated record
GAAAAUUACUCAGGCUUUUGGACCUGAUGUGUUGUCAUCAGGAGGGACUGAAACAAGGUGCUCUCUGUGCCUUCCAUGAGUUCUGGGGGUCCAGAAUAAAGACUGGAUUGGAGCCUGGAGUGGGGAGCCUACAAGAAUCUUGAUAGCCCCCUUACCAAGCAUUCCUGCAGGAGUCUGUCUGUGAGGUCUGUUCCGAGCGCUUUCCUGACACCGGCUCCCGCUCCUCGGACUCACGGCGAAACACAGGCUUUCAUUGUGCUGCGAUAGGAGAGGGAGAGAAAGAGAGAGAGAGAGAGCCCGCAGCCCGCCCCCCUGACGAUAUGAUUUUCCGUUUUCAAUAAGCUGCAAACGACACCACUGGGCACCCCAACAAGAGCUGGGUGAGCACGGAGGAAAAGCUCAUUUACACUGUGAGGAAGUUGUUGUGCAUGUGGCCAGAGGACAACUUUGUGGAAUCCAGUACUAUCCUUCCACUUGGGCUCCAGUGACUGAACUCAGGACCGGCUGCCACAAGAUCCUGCCACAGGACUUCUUCACCAUGAUGGACUAUAGCACAUACCUAAAAUUCACCAAAAUGGGCUCCAAGAACACAACAUGAUGUAUCAUAUAAGGAUCUGAAGGCACAAAUGUCCUGACUUAAGUAUCUGUCUCUAUGCUCAAGUGCACAAGUUCAGUACUAGCUACAUAAUUUUAAUAGUCACCUAUGUCACUUUUUCUGAAGCUGCAAUACACAGGAACACAGAGUUAAUGAUGCUCUGAAGACAGCGUUUCUCUGUGAAGCUGUGGCUAUUCUGAAACUCACUAUGUGGUCCAGGCCAGCCUCAAACUAAAACUCAAAAGAUUUGCCUGCUCCUGACUCCUGAGUGAUGAGAUUAAAGGAGCCCAUGGGGACCAGAACUGUGCAUGAGAUCAUAUAAAACCGGAAUUAUAAACAGCUGUGAGCUGCCAUGUGAGAACUGAGAGCUGAAAAAGGGUCUUCUGAGUGAGCAGCAAUACUCUUAAUCACUGAGCCAUCUCUCCAGUCCCCAAGAAUAAAAUCUAUAAAUGAUUUUCCUAAUCUUUAUUUUAAUGUUAACAGAGAUCUGGUCAACUACUGUCCAACAGUACUAAUGAAUCAUACUUCCCAAUAAAUCAUAUUUCCUCCAUUUUAUUUCAUUUUUAUUUAUUUUUUUCCUCUACUUUAAUAAUGGAAGAUUUACGAACAACUUUAGUUCUCUCUAUUCUCCCAAAACAUACAUUCUCCAAAGAUAAGCAGAGUCACUAGAAGAAGUUUUCAAAUAUUUACAAAUUCAGCCUUCUUACAAAGUAAGAUUAGAAACAAAAACAGAAUAUGUAUUUUUAUGAGUUCCCACUCUUGUCAAUUACUUAUUUUUUAUUUUUUUUGAGACAGGGUUUUUUUUUGUGGCCCUGCCUGUCCUGGAACUAGUUCUGUAGAGCAGACUGGCCUAUUCCUGCUUCUGCAUACCUCCUGAGCACAGAUUAAAGGUGUGAAGCACCAAGCCUAGCCAUUAUUUAUUCUUGAAGCCUCUCUAUGUCCAGAUUUAACAUCAUCUUAAUCAGGUAAAUGAUUGCUCUAGACACUGGCAUGCCAGAUAAAAAUCUGAAUUGUCUCUUUAUAAGAUGAACAGGCAUCUUCAAUUAUUAACCUAUAAACCACUAAUUUGAAUACUAUCUGACAUGAGGUCUUGACCUGGGUUAUAGUCUUCUUUGGACUUCAAAGGCAGUACCUGUUUUCUUGCCCAAGUGACCUUCUUUAUCACUCUGAUCCUAUACAUCUCUGUCCUAAGAUAUGACUCACUGAGAUUAAGGCUACGUACUGAUUUGAUCUCACUGAAUUAGGGGUGAAUGUGCUAUAAAGACACAUUUGCACCUUUGAAAAUUGUACCCUGGCAUAAGGGGUAGCGUGCUCACUUAGCAAGCUGAGGCCCUAGGUUUAGUAUCUGUGGCAUACUGAUAGAAAUAAAGAAA